AAAUGAAUAAUUAAACUGUUAUAAAAUGUUAUGAAAGAAGGAAUUAAAAUGAAUCGGAAACCCAACUCUAAAAUUAUUGUUAAACGAGGGUUGAUGAAAUGAUGCAAUGACACAAAUAGACAACGGUUUAUUCGUGGACGGGGUAUCAACAGUACAAUUCAAGAGUUCGAAUAAAAAUGGCGUCCUUUUCGGCAUGUCCGCGUCUCACGCCCACCCAAAUAAUUUAGCAAAUUAUAAAUAUAUCAGUAUUAGGAUCAUUUAUUCGGAAACCACUCAUCCGAGUCUUACUUUCUUCAGCCACUCGAGCCAAUAGAUUGUAUCAAUCUACUAGGACACCAAAAUAAUCUCGGCUUCGAACUAAGCACGAGUUGGUGCUCCAGUUGUGGACUUUUCAUAAGUAAUUUUACGUAUUUAGUAUGUAAUUUGUUACAAUGUAAUUUAUUCCUUCAACAGUAUAUAUCCUCUUGUGUACAUGUUCAAUU
Aethina tumida (small hive beetle) is the source of this 482-nucleotide long non-coding RNA. RefSeq lists it as uncharacterized. NCBI's taxonomy places the organism in Eukaryota, Metazoa, Arthropoda, Insecta, Coleoptera, Nitidulidae. The record is from RefSeq and is a predicted model, not a curated record. The transcript is spliced from 3 exons.